This 239-nucleotide ribosomal RNA is filed under the name uncultured bacterium. RNAcentral's name for it is "partial 16S ribosomal RNA". It matches the Rfam family "Bacterial small subunit ribosomal RNA", at positions 96 to 334 of the family's 1533-position model. The record is from RNAcentral.
UGGCGAACGGGUGAGUAACGCGUGAGGAACCUGCCUCAAAGAGGGGGACAACAGUUGAAACGACUGCUAAUACCGCAUAAGCCCACGGGUCGGCAUCGACCUGAGGGAAAAGGAGCAAUCCGCUUUGAGAUGGCCUCGCGUCCGAUUAGCUAGUUGGUGAGGUAACGGCCCACCAAGGCGACGAUCGGUAGCCGGACUGAGAGGUUGAACGGCCACAUUGGGACUGAGACACGGCCCAG